AGUGAACGCUGGCGGUAGGCCUAACACAUGCAAGUCGAACGGCAGCACAGUAAGAGCUUGCUCUUACGGGUGGCCAGUGGCGGACGGGUGAGGAAUACAUCGGAAUCUACUUUUUCGUGGGGGAUAACGUAGGGAAACUUACGCUAAUACCGCAUACGACCUACGGGUGAAAGCAGGGGAUCUUCGGACCUUGCGCGAUUGAAUGAGCCGAUGUCGGAUUGGCUGGUUGGGGGGGUAAAGGCCCACCAAGGCGGCGAUCCGUGGCCGGUCUGAGAGGAUGGUCGGCCACACUGGAGCUGGAACACCGUCCAUACUCCUACGGGAGGCAGCAGUGGGGAAUAUUGGACAAUGGGCGCAAGCCUGGUCCAGUCAUACCGCGUGGGUGAAGAAGGCGUUCGGGUUGUAAAGACCUUUUGUUGGGAAAGAAAAGCAGCAGGUUAAUACCCCGCUGUUCUGACGGUACCCAAAGAAUAAGCACCGGCUAACUUCGUG
This 492-nucleotide ribosomal RNA is filed under the name uncultured bacterium. Its description in RNAcentral is "partial 16S ribosomal RNA". It matches the Rfam family "Bacterial small subunit ribosomal RNA", at positions 29 to 507 of the family's 1533-position model. The record is from RNAcentral.